AGGUGAAAUUUGAUUUUGAGCAUUUCAUUCUCUCUUGAAAUUUGACAGCAUGCUGACAUUGUGUGAAUGAAGUUAGUGAAGUUCAGGUCAGGCACGAUCUACAGGCACCUAUCGGCCAGUCUAAGGCACAGUCAUGCCUGAAUCCAAUUGAUCUUCACCAUCAAAUGACACCUGAUCAAGGUAUGCAUACUAUCAAGCCUGUCAUUUGAGUUUUCUUGCCAAUCCAAAUAAUGUUACAUGCUGCAGCAUUUCUUUUA
Panicum virgatum (switchgrass) is the source of this 257-nucleotide long non-coding RNA. RefSeq lists it as uncharacterized. The transcript has 2 exons. The record is from RefSeq and is a predicted model, not a curated record. Lineage: Eukaryota; Viridiplantae; Streptophyta; Magnoliopsida; Poales; Poaceae.